RNAcentral lists this ribosomal RNA (261 nucleotides) under uncultured archaeon. RNAcentral's name for it is "partial 16S ribosomal RNA". It matches the Rfam family "Archaeal small subunit ribosomal RNA", at positions 748 to 1008 of the family's 1478-position model. The record is from RNAcentral.
CAGCCGUAAACAAUGUGCGUUAGGUGUGUCGGUAACCACGCGUUACUGAUGCGCCGAAGAGAAAUCGUGAAACGCACCACCUGGGAAGUACGGUCGCAAGGCUGAGACUUAAAGGAAUUGGCGGGGGAGCACCACAACAGGUGGAGCCUGCGGUUUAAUUGGAUUCAACGCCGGACAUCUCACCGGAUAAGACAGCUGAAUGAUUGUCAAUCUGAAGGUUUUACAUGACUAGCUGAGAGGAGGUGCAUGGCGUCAGUGACU